GACGAACGCUGGCGGCGUGCCUAACACAUGCAAGUCGAGCGAUGAAGCUCCUUCGGGAGUGGAUUAGCGGCGGACGGGUGAGUAACACGUGGGUAACCUGCCUCAUAGAGGGGAAUAGCCUUUCGAAAGGAAGAUUAAUACCGCAUAAGAUUGUAGCUUCGCAUGAAGCAGCAAUUAAAGGAGUAAUCCGCUAUGAGAUGGACCCGCGUCGCAUUAGAUAGUUGGUGAGGUAACGGCUCACCAAGGCGACGAUGCGUAGCCGACCUGAGAGGGUGAUCGGCCACAUGGGGACUGAGACACGGCCCAGACUCCUACGGGAGGCAGCAGUGGGGAAUAUUGCACAAUGGGGGAAACCCUGAUGCAGCAACGCCGCGUGAGUGAUGACGGUCUUCGGAUUGUAAAGCUCUGUCUUCAGGGACGAUAAUGACGGUACCUGAGGAGGAAGCCACGGCUAACUACGUGCCAGCCGCCGCAGUAA
This 478-nucleotide ribosomal RNA is filed under the name uncultured bacterium. Its description in RNAcentral is "partial 16S ribosomal RNA". It matches the Rfam family "Bacterial small subunit ribosomal RNA", at positions 28 to 523 of the family's 1533-position model. The record is from RNAcentral.